Molecule: long non-coding RNA, 1234 nt
Organism: Anthonomus grandis grandis
Lineage: Eukaryota; Metazoa; Arthropoda; Insecta; Coleoptera; Curculionidae
Exons: 3
Source: RefSeq, a predicted model, not a curated record
CCCUUUAUUCAGGAUGGGUUGCCUAAGUUUCAUUAAAAACUUCCCUUAAUUUUACCUGCAAACUGUUCUUUCACCAUGAAUCUCGUUGAUUAUUAUCACAGAAUUAAUUUAUAUACGGGUGCUCAAGAUUUUGUUCAGACCUUUGUUUAAAUUUCACCUUGAUAUGAGGACGGAAGAUUGUAUAGAUUUUUCAUUACUUUCUGAAUUCUUUUUAUUAUACCAAUGAUGCACCAAUUGAAGCAACUGUUUUUUCCCUAACAUUAUUUACGUGAGGCUUCCCUAAUAAUGUUUCGUCAACAUACUGACCCAAGUAUUGGAAUACUCUGGACAUUUUGGCCACUGCAGUAUUUUCCAGUGCACAUCAGAAUAUCCAUCACCGCCAAAUAUUGCGGUCAAGUUUUCCCUAUAAGAAACUUCAAGUGUUUAAAAUAUUAUUGCCUAGUUUCUGAAAUAUGACCAGGUUUGUUCGGGCGGUCUAUUUUAUCGACUUUAAAAUCAUAUUCCAAUGAAACUAGCUGAGCUAGAGUUUUCAAACCUGGACAGUGGUGUGCGCUCAAGUUUCCCCUACAAGAAACUUCAAGAGUUUUCGAAAUAUUUUUGACUAAUUUUUGAGUUAUGACCAGGUUUGUUCAGGCGGUCUAAGUUAUCGGCGUAAAAAUAAUUAAAUUAAUUGAUAGGGUGACUUUAAAAUCCGUUUCCAAUGAAACUAGCUGAGCUAGAGUUUCCAAACCUGGACAGUGGUGUGCGCUCAAGUUUCCCCUACAAGAAACUUCAAAAGUUUUCAAAAUAUUUUUGACCAGUUUUUGAGAUAUGUCCAGGUUUGUUCGGGCGGUCUAUGAUAGCCGCGUAAAAAUAAUUAAAUUAAUUGAUAGGGUGACUUUAAAAUCCGUUUCCAAUGAAACUAGCUGAGCUAGAGGUUCCAAACCUGGACAGUGGUGUGCGCUCAAGUUUCCCCUACAAGAAACUUCAAGAGUUUUCGAAAUAUUUUUGACUAAUUUUUGAGUUAUGACCAGGUUUGUUUGGGCGGUCUAAGUUAUCGGCGUAAAAAUAAUUAAAUUAAUUUAUAAGGUGACUUUAAAAUCCGUUUCCAAUAAAACUAGCUGAGCUAGGGUUUCCAAACCUGGACAGUGGUGUGCGCUCAAGUUUCCCCUACAAGAAACUUCAAAAGUUUUCAAGAUAUUUUUGACCAGUUUUUGAGAUAUGACCAGGUUUGUUUGGGCGGUCUAAGAUAUCG